RNAcentral lists this ribosomal RNA (494 nucleotides) under uncultured bacterium. RNAcentral describes it as "partial 16S ribosomal RNA". It matches the Rfam family "Bacterial small subunit ribosomal RNA", at positions 28 to 507 of the family's 1533-position model. The record is from RNAcentral.
GACGAACGCUGGCGGCGCGCUUAACACAUGCAAGUCGAACGGAAAGGCCUGCUUUCCCUUGUGGAUUGCGGGUACUCGAGUGGCGAACGGGUGAGUAACACGUGAGUGAUCUGCCCCCAACUUGGGUAUAAGCCUGGGAAACUGGGUCUAAUUCCCGAUAGGACUGCAGGGUGGUGCCUGUGGUGGAAAACGAUUUUCUAGUGGUUGGGGAUGAGCUCGCGGCCUAUCAGCUUGUUGGUGGGGUAAUGGCCUACCAAGGCGGCGACGGGUAGCCGGCCUGAGAGGGUGGACGGGCAGAUUGGGACUGAGAGACGGCCCAGACUCCUACGGGAGGCAGCAGUGGGGAAUAUUGCACAAUGGGCGGAAGCCUGAUGCAGCGACGCCGCGUGGGGGAUGACGGCCUUCGGGUUGUAAACUCCUUUCGACCGCGAGGAAGCCACCUGGUUGGAAGGGUGGUGACGGUAGUGGUAGAAGAAGCACCGGCUAACUACGUG